UUUUAGUUUUUAAAUACAGAAGUAUUAAUUUAUUUUGUAAAUGUGAAAUUAACAUUAAAUGCAGUUCAUUUCAUUUUUUAUUUUUAUUUUUACAUGUCCCUGAUACUGAUGCUUUGAUCAUAAAACUGACACAUUAUCACCAUUUCCACAACAACUUUGAUGUUUACUGGAAUUCCCUUAACACUUCCAAGGAUAUAUCAAACAGCAAUGUCUACAAAUCUGCAGGGAAAUACAGCCAACACAGAGGGUGUCACACACAACACUGGAUAAUGGCAAGAUCAUUUCAAUCGAAAAUCCAUUUUCAUGUGCUCAUCGUAUGAGCUGAUUACACCUGCUAUUUACUAAAAUGUUUAUAGGUUGCGGUUACCUAAUGUUCAAUUAGAUUAACAAAAUGGCACAAUCAUACAGUGAAACACUCAUGAAAGCUGGCAUGAAACAAAUAGUGGGAAAGGGGGCUAUAGUGAAGGAUUUUCAGACACUGGUGCACGAGUAGGCUAGGUAACAUUCAGAAAAGUUUAUUUGGCUGUAAAACCCCUUUUUUAAUCUGUCCUUAUCCAGUGAUCCAAUAAAGCUAGACAUGAAGGUUAAACAAGUAACAUGAGGCCCAAAUACAGACCGUCUCCAAAAAACAACAAAAAAAAUCAAGGCACUUGGGAGAUAAUCAUCUGGUUCUGGAUUAUUUUAAGAGAGUAAGGGUACACUCUGCCAAUUGCUCCAUUUAAGUCUCGGGGCAAAAUUGCUGUCCGGUAAGCAAUUUAGUAAACACAGAAAAACCUUUACUCUGCAAAGACUAUCCAGCUCUUGGAUUGUGGUUUUAAAGGUUUUUCAAAUUAGACACAAAUUGAGAAAGGCCCUAAAGCAGGUUUCCCCAAACUCCGGCCCCUCCAGAUGUUGCUGAACUACAACUCCCAUGAUUCUCAGCCUAUUUCAUUCAGAGAAUCAUGGGAGUUGUAGCAAAAUCUGGAGGGCCGGAGUUUGAGGAAGCCUGCCCUAAAGAACAAGUUAUUCUUUUAGUGAAAAUUCAAUCAAAAUUAGAUUGGAUUUAAUUUCCCAUUAUCUCAGGAGUACUAUGUGCUGCAACCAAGAUUAGCAAUAGCUCCCCUAUCCUCCAAUUACCAUGAUGCAUGUGCAAUAGUCUAACAGGCCUUUGUGUUACGACAAAAACUAACUAGGUUCUAGUGGGGAGAAAGACAUAUGCUCUACAAGUAUUUGCUUCACUGAUUAGAAAGAAAGAUCAAACUUACAACAAUAUAAGCACUAUAACCACUAUAAAGUUUUUGUGUAGAAAUCAGUUUUUGUCAGACUAUUUUCAAGUGGCAACCAAACCUAGUCCGUGGUCUGCCAAUGUCAAAGUUUCACUUUAUCUGCCCAACCAUGAAUGGCAGUGAUAGGCUGAAAGCAUUUGUGUGGAACAGCACAGCGAUGGCAACUUAUCAUUGCUAUCUAAGGUUGCAUGCAACUGGAUGGUUAAGUUAUAGCGGUUAGGGUGUUUAAAGAGUACCAUUAAAACUGCAAUUCUACAAACAAAGCAGAUUAAGUAGUAUACAGUGCAAACACCAUUCUUCUAUCGUAUGCUAUCACAGUAGGGUAAAACCUGCAGCCAGGUUCUCAAGUAAAAAAGUCACAUCAGUAACCAAUCAUUCUGGGAGUAGACCAUCAUUUGCAGACAUGCACUAAAAGUCAAUCUUGUGUAUUUCUGUAUUUAAAAAUGGUUAAUUAUUGAAAAAGUAUACUGCUAACAGUGUACCUAUCAUGAUAUACACAACAUGGGCUACAAUUAAAGAGCAUGACGUUUCAUCUACACAAUAUGCUAGCAUAAAUACUUGGAAAUGUAUAGAUAUUAAUUUAAUACCCAGGAAAGAUUUGGCCUUCUUCCACUUGAAAAUCAGACUUCAAUUUAUGUCAGUGGCAUGCAGGAGGUUUUUCUCACGCAUAAGGAUAAUAUAAUUUUGGAUGCACAGACACCAAAGUUCUGACAGUGAAGUCAGUAUGUCAUGAUAAGCUUGGGGACGUGUCUCAAACAGGCACAUUCACAGCAGAGAAGAGAAAGGAAAUAGACAGUGGAUGUUACAGCACAAUAGUUAUAACAUCCAAACACACAACAAAAAUGGUGGCACUGGUGUAAGGGGCAGCAGGUGACUACUAAUGUAAUGAUACAUUUAAAGGCUUUCAAGUGGUUAUGUGUUAAAAAUAACCUAUCAAGCCAGGUUCACUUUAAAAAACAAACAAAUGAUACUGUCACCACAAUUUACUAAGACUAACUAUAAAUGUCUAUAUGUAUAAUUAUAUUAAGGCAUUAUGAAAUACCGAUUGUACUGCCCAGAAAAUUGAAUGCAAAAUAGUCUUUAUUUACUACACGAGAGUAAGAACUAAGUUACGAGAAUUAGAAAUAAUUCAACAGAGAGAAUCCAGAGACUUGAGAUGGAAAAUGAUUUUUCUUAUGAUAAAUAUAAA
RNAcentral lists this long non-coding RNA (2454 nucleotides) under Pelobates cultripes (western spadefoot toad). Lineage: Eukaryota; Metazoa; Chordata; Amphibia; Anura; Pelobatidae. The record is from RNAcentral.